GACGAACGCUGGCGGCGUGCUUAACACAUGCAAGUCGAACGGAAAGGCCCUGCUUUUGUGGGGUGCUCGAGUGGCGAACGGGUGAGUAACACGUGAGUAACCUGCCCUUGACUUUGGGAUAACUUCAGGAAACUGGGGCUAAUACCGGAUAGGAGCUCCUGCUGCAUGGUGGGGGUUGGAAAGUUUCGGCGGUUGGGGAUGGACUCGCGGCUUAUCAGCUUGUUGGUGGGGUAGUGGCUUACCAAGGCUUUGACGGGUAGCCGGCCUGAGAGGGUGACCGGCCACAUUGGGACGGAGAUACGGCCCAGACUCCUACGGGAGGCAGCAGUGGGGAAUAUGGCACAAUGGGCGGAAGCCUGAUGCAGCAACGCCGCGUGCGGGAUGACGGCCUUCGGGUUGUAAACCGCUUUCGCCUGUGACGAAGCGUGAGUGGCGGUAAUGGGUAAAGAAGCACCGGCUAACUACGU
RNAcentral lists this ribosomal RNA (467 nucleotides) under uncultured bacterium. Its description in RNAcentral is "partial 16S ribosomal RNA". It matches the Rfam family "Bacterial small subunit ribosomal RNA", at positions 28 to 506 of the family's 1533-position model. The record is from RNAcentral.